UGAUGUUAGCGGCGGACGGGUGAGUAACACGUGGAUAACCUACCUAUAAGACUGGGAUAACUUCGGGAAACCGGAGCUAAUACCGGAUAAUAUUUUGAACCGCAUGGUUCAAAAGUGAAAGACGGUCUUGCUGUCACUUAUAGAUGGAUCCGCGCUGCAUUAGCUAGUUGGUAAGGUAACGGCUUACCAAGGCAACGAUGCAUAGCCGACCUGAGAGGGUGAUCGGCCACACUGGAACUGAGACACGGUCCAGACUCCUACGGGAGGCAGCAGUAGGGAAUCUUCCGCAAUGGGCGAAAGCCUGACGGAGCAACGCCGCGUGAGUGAUGAAGGUCUUCGGAUCGUAAAACUCUGUUAUUAGGGAAGAACAUAUGUGUAAGUAACUGUGCACAUCUUGACGGUACCUAAUCAGAAAGCCACGGCUAACUACGUGCCAGCAGCCGCGGUAAUACGUAGGUGGCAAGCGUUAUCCGGAAUUAUUGGGCGUAAAGCGCGCGUAGGCGGUUUUUUAAGUCUGAUGUGAAAGCCCACGGCUCAACCGUGGAGGGUCAUUGGAAACUGGAAACACUUGAGUGCAGAAGAGGAAAGUGGAAUUCCAUGUGUAGCGGUGAAAUGCGCAGAGAUAUGGAGGAACACCGGUGGCGAAGGCGACUUUCUGGUCUGUAACUGACGCUGAUGUGCGAAAGCGUGGGGAUCAAACAGGAUUAGAUACCUGGUAGUCCACGCCGUAAACGAUGAGUGCUAAGUGUUAUGGGGGUUUCCGCCCCUUAGUGCUGCAGCUAACGCAUUAAGCACUCCGCCUGGGGA
This 807-nucleotide ribosomal RNA is filed under the name uncultured Staphylococcus sp. RNAcentral describes it as "bacterial SSU rRNA". It matches the Rfam family "Bacterial small subunit ribosomal RNA", at positions 87 to 879 of the family's 1533-position model. The record is from RNAcentral. Lineage: Bacteria; Bacillati; Bacillota; Bacilli; Caryophanales; Staphylococcaceae.